RNAcentral lists this transfer RNA (71 nucleotides) under Pseudohomaloptera leonardi. Its description in RNAcentral is "tRNA-Thr". It matches the Rfam family "tRNA". From Rfam's summary of the family: Transfer RNA (tRNA) molecules are approximately 80 nucleotides in length. Their secondary structure includes four short double-helical elements and three loops (D, anti-codon, and T loops). Lineage: Eukaryota; Metazoa; Chordata; Actinopteri; Cypriniformes; Balitoridae. The record is from RNAcentral.
GCCCUAGUAGCUUAAUGUAAAGCAUCGGUCUUGUAAACCGAAGACCGGAGGUUAAAAACCCCCCUAGCGCC